CCUACGGGAGGCAGCAGUGGGGAAUCUUGCACAAUGGAGGAAACUCUGAUGCAGCGAUGCCGCGUGAGUGAAGAAGGCCUUUGGGUUGUAAAGCUCUUUUGUAGGGGAAGAUAAUGACUGUACCCUAAGAAUAAGGUCCGGCUAACUUCGUGCCAGCAGCCGCGGUAAUACGAAGGGACCUAGCGUAGUUCGGAAUUACUGGGCGUAAAGCGCGCGUAGGCCGUUGAGUUAGUUAAUUGUGAAAUCCCAAAGCUUAACUUUGGAACUGCAAUUAAAACUGCUCGACUAGAGUUUGAUAGAGGAAAGCGGAAUACAUAGUGUAGAGGUGAAAUUCGUAGAUAUUAUGUAGAACACCAGUUGCGAAGGCGGCUUUCUGGAUCAACACUGACGCUGAGGCGCGAAAGUAUGGGUAGCAAAGAGGAUUAGAUACCCUCGUAGUCCAUACCAUAAACGAUGAUUGCUAGAUGUUGGAAAUUUAUUUUCAGUAUCGCAGCUAACGCAUUAAGCAAUCCGCCUGGGGAGUACGACCGCAAGGUUAAAACUCAAAGGAAUUGAACGG
This 559-nucleotide ribosomal RNA is filed under the name uncultured bacterium. RNAcentral describes it as "bacterial SSU rRNA". It matches the Rfam family "Bacterial small subunit ribosomal RNA", at positions 338 to 917 of the family's 1533-position model. The record is from RNAcentral.